Molecule: ribosomal RNA, 468 nt
Filed under: uncultured bacterium
Lineage: Bacteria
Description: partial 16S ribosomal RNA
Rfam family: Bacterial small subunit ribosomal RNA
Source: RNAcentral
GACGAACGCUGGCGGCGUGCUUAACACAUGCAAGUCGAACGGAAAGGCCCUGCUUUUGUGGGCUGCUCGAUUGGCGAACGGGGGAGUAACACGAGUGUAACCUGCCCUUGACUUUGGGAUAACUUCAGGAAACUGGGGCUAAUCCCGGAUAGGAGCUCCCGCUGCAUGGUGGGGGGUGGAAAGUUUCGGCGGUUGGGGAUGGACGCGCGGCUUAUGGGCUUGUUGGUGGGGUAGUGGCUUACCAAGGCUUUGACGGGUAGCCGGCCUGUGAGGGGGACCGGCCACAUUGGGACUGCGAUAGGCACCAGACGGGUACAGGAGGCAGCGGGGGGGAAUAUUGCACAGCGAGACGAAGCGGGAUGAGGAGACGUCGGGUGCGUGAAGACGGCCUGUGGGUUGAGAACCGCUUCCGGCUGUGACGAAGCGUGUGUGACGGUAAUGGAUAAAGAAGCACCGGCUAACUACGUG